RNAcentral lists this small nuclear RNA (95 nucleotides) under Prolemur simus (greater bamboo lemur). The record is from RNAcentral. Lineage: Eukaryota; Metazoa; Chordata; Mammalia; Primates; Lemuridae.
UUGCUUCUGCAGCACAUAUACUAAGCUUGGAAAAAUACAGAGGUUAGCAUGGGCUCCCAAGAUGACACACGAUUUGUAAAGCAUUCCAUAUUUUG